RNAcentral lists this ribosomal RNA (2600 nucleotides) under human gut metagenome. Its description in RNAcentral is "bacterial LSU rRNA". It matches the Rfam family "Bacterial large subunit ribosomal RNA". The record is from RNAcentral.
UUAAAGUAGUAAGGGCGCAGGGUGGAUGCCUUGGCACUAAGAGCCGAUGAAAGACGUGAUAAGCUGCGAAAAGCUUCGGGGAGGAGCACAUAUCCAAUGAUCCGGAGAUAUCUGAAUGGGGAAACCCGGCAGAGGAAACCUCUGUCAGCAUGUAGUGAAUCCAUAGCUGCAUGUGGGGAACCCGGGGAACUGAAACAUCUAAGUACCCGGAGGAAGAGAAAGAAAAUUUAUCGAUUUCCAAAGUAGCGGCGAGCGAAAUGGAAGGAGCCCAAACCGUGGUGCGUGCAUCACGGGGUUCGGACUGCGACAUGAGAGACGUAAGAUAGGAGAACGGACUGGGAAGUCCGGCCGGAGAGAGUGAAAGCCUCGUAUCCGAAAUCCCAAGUCAUCUAGCAGGAUCCAGAGUAGGACGAGACACGAGAAACCUUGUCUGAAGGAGCGGGGACCACCCCGUAAGGCUAAAUACUUCUUAGUGACCGAUAGCGCAUAGUACUGUGAAGGAAAGGUGAAAAGUACCCCGGGAGGGGAGUGAAAGAGAACCUGAAACCCUGUGUCUACAAGCUGUGGGACCUCUUUAUAUGAGGGACUGCGUACUUUUUGUAGAACGGUCCGGCGAGUUGUGCGUACUGGCGAGGUUAAGGACUUAAGGUCCGGAGCCGAAGUGAAAGCAAGCGUUAAGAGCGCGGUAAGUCAGUGAGUGCAGACCCGAAACCGGGUGACCUAUCCAUGUCCAGGUUGAAGCUUCCGUAAGAGGAAGUGGAGGACCGAACCCACAUCCGUUGAAAAGGGUGGGGAUGAGGUGUGGAUAGCGGAGAAAUUCCAAUCGAACCCGGAGAUAGCUGGUUCUCCUCGAAAUAGCUUUAGGGCUAGCCUCAUGAGAGUCUUAUGGAGGUAGAGCACUGAAUUGCCUAGGGGGCGUCAAAGCUUACCAAAGCAUAUCAAACUCCGAAUGCCAUCAAGAUGAUUCAUGGGAGUCAGACCAUACGAGAUAAGUUGGAUGGUCAAAAGGGAAAGAGCCCAGACCUACAGCUAAGGUCCCAAAGUGCGUGUUAAGUGGAAAAGGAUGUGGGGAUUCUAAGACAACUAGGACGUUGGCUUAGAAGCAGCCAUUCAUUGAAAGAGUGCGUAAUAGCUCACUAGUCGAGAGUCCCUGCGCCGAAAAUGUCCGGGGCUGAAACACGACACCGAAGCUUAGGAAUGUGUAAACAUUGGUAGAGGAGCAUUGCUGGCGGGAUGAAGCCAUACCGAAAGGAGUGGUGGACUGCUAGGAAGAGAGAAUGCCGGAAUGAGUAGCGAGAUGAAGGUGAGAAUCCUUCAGGCCGAAUAUCUAAGGUUUCCAGAGUAAAGCUGAUCUGCUCUGGGUAAGUCGGGACCUAAGGCGAGGUCGAAAGACGUAGUCGAUGGAUAACAGGUUGAAAUUCCUGUACCGCAUAUAAACAGAACUGUGGGGACACAGACAGGGAAUGGAAUCCGGGGAUGGAGAACCCGGAGCAAGCGAGGUAGGAGUAUCAUUGGCAAAACCGUGAUACAGAUCUGAAGACGUGAUGCGUACCGAACAUAAGUAGAAUGGCCCAAGCAACUGUUUAGCAAAAACACAGGUCUAUGCAAAACCGCAAGGUGAAGUAUAUGGGCUGACGCCUGCCCGGUGCUGGAAGGUUAAGGGGAGAGGUUAGCGCAAGCGAAGCUUUGAACUUAAGCCCCAGUAAACGGCGGCCGUAACUAUAACGGUCCUAAGGUAGCGAAAUUCCUUGUCGGGUAAGUUCCGACCCGCACGAAAGGCGUAAUGAUUUGGGCACUGUCUCAACGAUACACCCGGUGAAAUUGAAAUACCAGUGAAGAUGCUGGUUACCUGCGCCAGGACGGAAAGACCCCAUGGAGCUUUACUCCAGUUUGAUACUGGGAUUCGGCAUGGUAUGUACAGGAUAGGUGGGAGACUGAGAAGGUAUGACGUCAGUUGUACCGGAGUCGCUGUUGGGAUACCACCCUUACCAUGUUGGAUUUCUAACCUGUGGCCGUGAACCGGUCAGGGGACAAUGUCAGGCGGGGAGUUUGACUGGGGCGGUCGCCUCCGAAAGGGUAUCGGAGGCGCUCAAAGGUUCCCUCAGAAUGGUUGGAAACCAUUCGAAGAGUGCAAAGGCAGAAGGGAGCUUGACUGUGACACCGACGGGUGGAGCAGGUACGAAAGUAGGACUUAGUGAUCCGGUGGUAUAAAGUGGGAUUGCCAUCGCUCAACGGAUAAAAGCUACCCUGGGGAUAACAGGCUUAUCACUCCCAAGAGUUCACAUCGACGGAGUGGUUUGGCACCUCGAUGUCGGCUCAUCGCAUCCUGGAGCUGUAGCAGGUUCCAAGGGUUGGGCUGUUCGCCCAUUAAAGCGGUACGCGAGCUGGGUUCAGAACGUCGUGAGACAGUUCGGUCCCUAUCCGGCGCAGGCGGAGGAAAUUUGAUAGGAGCUGUCCUUAGUACGAGAGGACCGGGAUGGACGGACCGCUGGUGUAUCUGUUGUACUGCCAAGUGCAUCGCAGAGUAGCCAAGUCUGGAAGGGAUAAACGCUGAAGGCAUCUAAGCGUGAAGCCCCCCUAAAGAUAAGAUUUCCCAUACC